ACGAAAAGUACACGACACGUUUCGAAACGAGUACGGAUUUGAGAUUAAGUACACGAAUCCAAAACUGCGUGAAUAAGGAGGAGAGCUAAUAUGGCACUAAAGUUUGAAAUUGUGUGAAUAAGAGAAAUUAUGGUCGAAUAUUGAAUUCAACUAUGUUUGAAGCUUGAAUUUAAUGUCAUCGUGAAAUUGCAAUCCCAUCGUGAAACUAAGCCUUUGUGAGAUUGUGGUCGAGGUUGCGUUGACAGCGUGAUGAGAGAGAUAGGUGUGAAAAACAAAAGAGGGAGAUGGAGAGGAUGAAGGAAAGAGAGAAUUGAAAGCGGAAGAAGGGUCGUAUAUUUGAAAACGGGAAAUUGAAGAAGAACGAGGCGAGGUAAUAAUAAUAAACAGGUAUUAUAUAAUUGAAAGAGUAAAGUAAUUAUAGUAAAAUUGUAAAUAUAAGUUAAAAGUUAUAUAUAUUUGUAAAUUUCUCUAAAUCUUAUGGUCAGCGUCACAAAUUCCAUCUUUAAAAAUCAUAUUUAGACUGCGCUUCAACUUAUCAAAUAUCAAUUGUGCCUUCAUAACGCUAUUACAAAUCAUAUUUCGACUGCGCUUCAACUUAUCAAAUAUCAAUUGUGCUUUCAUAACGCUAUUACAGAACUCUAUAUGAGAUUGUCAUCUCAUAAGAUUCCUCAAAUAUCACAAAUAAAUCUAAGACCUGUUUAUCAGUUUUUUUAUGUUGAUAUAUUGUGUAGGAUAAGAUUCACAUCUAUUGUAAGGCCUCUAAUUAGACAAUAAAAUUUUAUGUGUCAUAUAUUAUUUUGGGGUUGUUUAUCCUGUGCCCUCAGGGCACAGGUUAAACUGUAAUAAUUAUACUCUUUUUCUACGACUACUCCUCCUCUCUCCUGCUUUUCCAAUAUUUCGUUAAUUAAUGUUUUGUAUAUUAUUGUGUUUUCUUCUUUAACUAUAUACUUUACUAUUUUUACAUAUUAUAUUUAAAAAAUAUUAUUUAUAAAUUAUAAACAAGUUUAAAUUUUAUUAAAUACAAAACAAGUUUUCAUUAAUUUUGUCCCACAAAUAAUAA
RNAcentral lists this long non-coding RNA (1060 nucleotides) under Daucus carota (carrot). Its description in RNAcentral is "long non-coding RNA (DCAR_LNC003684)". The record is from RNAcentral. Lineage: Eukaryota; Viridiplantae; Streptophyta; Magnoliopsida; Apiales; Apiaceae.